Molecule: long non-coding RNA, 652 nt
Filed under: Populus trichocarpa (black cottonwood)
Lineage: Eukaryota; Viridiplantae; Streptophyta; Magnoliopsida; Malpighiales; Salicaceae
Description: long non-coding RNA (PTRI_LNC003305)
Source: RNAcentral
AAUAUUUUGCCUAGAGACCACAGUCACCUGAUGCAAUUCUGACUUGCAUUUGUCGGCAUAUCCUAAUCGGAAUAUGGUUUCACAUUCUUUAUAUGAGAGGUCAUGUUUCCCAUGGCGUGGAAAUAGAUUGAUGCAUGAUCGCAUGUAAAAAGGUUACUGCUUAGGUUCCUCUCUUUUUUUUGUUUUUUUUCCUCUCGAGUAGACAGAUCCGAAAACAAGCUUAUCAAUUAUAAUCCGGGGUUGACUUCUGUAAAGAAUAAAAAGACGAAAGAAAAUCGGGCGCAAGUGUAUGAUUAUAAGUAACCUUCAGCAAUGAGAUCAUGUCUUACGCAACUAGAUGUGUUGGCUUCUUGUUUUUGGUGAGAGCUCUUCUCGCUAAAGUUAGCAGGGAAGAUAGAUACCCAUCUGAUCAUCUCUCCGCACGAACAUCAAGCAGCUGCUACUCGGAGUAUAUGUUGAUUUUGUUGCGCUUCUCUAUCUCUCUUCUCGUCGUCGGAGCAUCGGCAGCAUCUCCUCAUGGCAGAAACGAGAUUUUACAACACGUAUUUGUUAUAGAAUUUUUUUUUCCCCUCUUAAAGCUAGGAGUGGGCUUGGUGUCCGACGACUAAUUAAUUGUUAAUACUUUUUUAUAUAUAAUUGUGGGUAUUCAGGC